RNAcentral lists this ribosomal RNA (445 nucleotides) under uncultured Thiobacillus sp. RNAcentral's name for it is "bacterial SSU rRNA". It matches the Rfam family "Bacterial small subunit ribosomal RNA", at positions 933 to 1382 of the family's 1533-position model. The record is from RNAcentral. Lineage: Bacteria; Pseudomonadati; Pseudomonadota; Betaproteobacteria; Nitrosomonadales; Thiobacillaceae.
UGGAUGAUGUGGAUUAAUUCGAUGCAACGCGAAAAACCUUACCUACCCUUGACAUGUCCGGAAUCCUGCAGAGAUGCGGGAGUGCCCGAAAGGGAAUCGGAACACAGGUGCUGCAUGGCUGUCGUCAGCUCGUGUCGUGAGAUGUUGGGUUAAGUCCCGCAACGAGCGCAACCCUUAUCAUUAGUUGCUACGCAAGGGCACUCUAAUGAGACUGCCGGUGACAAACCGGAGGAAGGUGGGGAUGACGUCAAGUCCUCAUGGCCCUUAUGGGUAGGGCUUCACACGUCAUACAAUGGUCGGUACAGAGGGUUGCCAAGCCGCGAGGUGGAGCCAAUCCCAGAAAGCCGAUCGUAGUCCGGAUUGUUCUCUGCAACUCGAGAGCAUGAAGUCGGAAUCGCUAGUAAUCGCGGAUCAGCAUGUCGCGGUGAAUACGUUCCCGGGUCUU